AGUAGGAGUACUGUGGAGGGAGUGUAAUCAAGAGAAAGUAAUUAUGUAGAAGAUACCUUUAGUAUCAGGGAGAAUCAAAAUUCAGUUAAAUUUGAUCCCGAAAUUAAUUGAGUUAAGUUUAUUAGUAAAUUGUGUUGAAAAAUAAAUACAAAUAUAGAUUUAGAGGUGAAAUUCUUACGAGAUGUAAUAGCUGGUUGUUAGGAGGUCGUGUAUUUUUAGGAUAAAAAUAGAGGUAAAGAGUUAAGUUUUUAUCUCGAGUAGAUUAACUUUAACUAUUAUAAAUUAGGCUUUAAAAUAGUUAUAUUUAUAGUUUGUUACAAUAAAUUGAGAGAGAGAUAGGGCUAUUUAUUAGGUGGCCUGUGGCUUAAUUGUAGAGGCGCAUAGAUAAUGAUUUUAUUAGUAUAUUGUUUAGCUGUAAAGAAAAAACUCGUCCUUUGCUUGUCGAAUGUUUAACAAAAACAUUUUUCACUUGUGAAUUGUGGAUAAGGCCUGCCCAGUGCAGCAUGUAAACGGCUGCAGUAUUGUGACUGUACAAAGGUAGCAUAAUCAUUUGUACUUUAAUUGAGGACUGGAAUGAACGGUUUAACGAUGGGCAGCUGUUUUAUUUUUAUAUUAAAAUUUAUAGUUUAAGUAAAAAUUCUUAAAUAAUACCGAGGGACGAUAAGACCCUAAAAGCUUAAAAUUAAGGUGUGUUUAUUAUAAGAUAAAUUUUUGGCUGGGGUAGCAGAAUUAUUUGAUUUAAUUGUGGAGGAAAUUUAUGUAGAUAUGAAGGAUCCUUUAUAUAAGGAUGGAUAGGGCUAGUUACUUUAGGGAUAACAGCGCAAUUAUUUUGCAGAGACCUUAUUGAUAAAGUGGAUUGCGACCUCGAUGUUGAAUUAGAGUUUCUUUAUGAAGUAAAUGGUGUAUAAGAGGGUUUGUUCAACCUGUAAAUCUCUACAUGAUUUGAGUUCAGACCGGCGUAAGCCAGGUCGGUUUCUAUCUUCUGUUAAAUUAUAUUUUAGUUUAGUACGAAAGGGUCAACUAGGGUUUGUCUA
Molecule: ribosomal RNA, 1034 nt
Filed under: Bactrurus brachycaudus
Lineage: Eukaryota; Metazoa; Arthropoda; Malacostraca; Amphipoda; Crangonyctidae
Description: 16S ribosomal RNA
Rfam family: Bacterial large subunit ribosomal RNA (bases 623-1034)
Source: RNAcentral